GCCCCCAUAGCUUAACGGAUAAAGCACCGGUCUUCUAAACCGGCUAUCGUGGUUCGAUUCCACGUGGGGGUG
RNAcentral lists this transfer RNA (72 nucleotides) under Planctomycetales bacterium 10988. It matches the Rfam family "tRNA". From Rfam's summary of the family: Transfer RNA (tRNA) molecules are approximately 80 nucleotides in length. Their secondary structure includes four short double-helical elements and three loops (D, anti-codon, and T loops). The record is from Rfam by way of RNAcentral. Lineage: Bacteria; Pseudomonadati; Planctomycetota; Planctomycetia; Planctomycetales.